This is a long non-coding RNA of Odontomachus brunneus, 2551 nucleotides long. RefSeq lists it as uncharacterized. NCBI's taxonomy places the organism in Eukaryota, Metazoa, Arthropoda, Insecta, Hymenoptera, Formicidae. The transcript has 4 exons. The record is from RefSeq and is a predicted model, not a curated record.
AGAAAUAUCGCCAUUCGUUGACACCUCAAUUAAUACGAGCAACACCAAGAUGCUGCAAUGUAGAAUGAUCAUACACUGUUGAACUCAUACACGACUUUCGUUUUGCAACCUGUUUUCUAUCGCCGGCUAAUCGCUACGAAAGUUCUCAGAUAGCACAUAGAAUUCAAAGAGAAUUUAAAAAAUUCAGUUAUAUGUCGCCAAUUCUGAGUUCAUUUUCAGAUGCAAAAAGAAUUCUUCAGAGUUCAAUUCAGUGAAAAGAAUUCUUUUUGCAUCUAAAAAUAAACUCAGAUUUGGUGUCAUACGAUUGAAUUCUUUUAGAAUUAUCUGUGCUAUCUUGACACCGAGUCUCCCUAGUGAUUUGCGAUUCUUUUUACGAUAUUGUGGAGCCGAGAUUGAACAUCAAGCUGGGGUUAAUUAUUAUAAAAUAAUGUAUAGUAUUGAUAUGAUACAAGGGAUAUGUUACGUGGUAUUGCACGCGCGAUGAUCGUACUGAGGAUCGUCUCGAGCAGCGGCAACGUGACCUCAAGCAGGAUCUGCCAGAGUUUAUAGCCAUUUGCUGGACGCGGUUCCCGGAGGAUACAAUUUCGAUGGACACCGGAAGUGUGUGAUGUGACGUACAUACCGGAAGAUUUAGUUCGGGUCGAGAAGAAUCGAAGAUUUUAAGUACCAGCAGAACUUGGUUGAUUAUAAGCUCCUGGUAUUUCAGUCAGUUCAAAAAAAUCAACAAAACAAGUACGAACAAAUAAAGGAGAAAGAUGGAUAAACGUACAAGAUCAGUGCAUUAUUAUUAGUAUUCAUAUUAUUAAUUCUGUACAAAUAUUAGUUUAUCAUUUCACAGAAAUUAUAUCGUGAUCGUUUUAGUUCCUUUAUUGAUAUUAUAAUUGCGCGUGGAAUAAGCCAGUAUAGAUUAAAAGAAUAUGUUUGCAAACAGCUUCCAGACAAACAUAAAGAUAAUGGAUAUAAACACGAUCUUUGUCACUUGAUGUAUCCAGAAUAAUCUGAAAUUCAUAAUAUUAUUUUAAGUGCAAAAGUAAGAUUUCACAAUUAGAAUGCUUUUUAUAUUGCACACUUGUAUUUCAUAACAAUCGUCAAUGAUUCCAUACAUUUCAAUUUGAAUUAAUCCUAAAAUGAUCAGCGAGAUCAAAUGGAAUUCAAAACCAUGUUUAAAGUCCGACCAACUUUUUUUACGUUACUUUUUGGGAGCUGUAAUUGUUUGUGGGAGUAAUUUCUUGACUUUUCUUACUUUGGUAAACUGACCAGAGUAGCAAAAGUUUAGGAUUCUAUAAGAAGGGCUGGAAGUGAUGGAAAGAAAGCAACGUCAAAGGCCAUUGGAGUCUUUUGAGCCGCAAAGAGUCAAAAACUUUUCUAAGAUUAUUUUUUCACAUUGGAAAUUGAACUAUUGUUUAGGUACAUUCAUUAAAUUUUAGCUAAGAAAUUAUGUGCAUACAUUUGUGCUUUGUUAUGUUUUGUAUAUGCAUUUUGUGUGCAAUGGCUCUGGAUGGCCAUUAAAUAGAAUAUUUAUAUGUACUGUAUUGCACUGUAUUGCACUUAUAUCGCACUGAAUAAUUUUUUGAUGAAUUUAGAUCACGUGUAUAUGUCAUUAUGUACAUGUCAUGAAUACAUUUAUUUUUUUACAAUUAUCUUAUCUCUCUCGCGAUAGCACACAUACAUUUAUUUUAAACUGAAAUAUUACACAUAUAUUCACAUUUGAUCUUUUCCACAAUAUAUUUCUAUAUCAUGUAGCUCUGUAUCGUGGUGCUUGUAUAUAAUACAUGAGUUAAUAUUAUGUCUAUACGUAACAUUAAAUGCGACGUUCAUGCGAGUAUUUUCGUGACCAGCCUCCAGAUGAACCAAAGAACGGCGAAUGUGAAUAUCAUUCUCACCGCUUGAUGUAUCCAAUAAAGUCUGCAAUUUGUUUGUUUCAUUAACUGUCAACUAACUUCGCACUGCUUUAAAUAUUCAUACUUAUAUAAUUUUUUGCUCCAUGAUUGAUAUGCUAAAGAUUAAUAUGCUAUAUAUGCCGCGCGCGUGUGUGAUAUAUACAAAUUCAUAAUUAUCAUAUUUUAUCGGAUUGACAUCAUCACCUUUUCCAUCGGAUGCGACUGGCUUCCAAAGAGCUGAUGUCGUCUUUGAGCAAAUAAAUGCGUAGACCUUUAAUAUGAUUGUCCAAGUAUUUCGGCCAGUCGAAACCCUUCAUGUUGAAGUUCAGCAAACGCUGAUCCUCCUUGCUUAAACGAUGCCACAUCGCAUGAAUGUUGUCGUUCGUGUAAGUCCAUUCCCUGGUCGUAAAGUAGUGAAUGACAUUGGAAAAAUUGUGGAUCUUCUUGUAGAACGUCCAUAUGCUGUAAAGAAGCGAAGAAUGAAUAUGAUUUGAAUUUUGGGACACGACAGAGUCCUUGAGAUACCUUUCUCGAACACCUCUGCACGUUUGGACAGCGUCCAUCAAUAAAGCAGGCAACAAACCACGCGGGUUUCCGCGAGUCUCCAUCUUUUCGGAUCAUACCUGUGCGACUGAGUGAAAACAUCCCAAGCAGUGGCGAUUAGAGCGUUC